UUCACCAUGUUGGCCAGCCCGGUCUUGAACUCCGUCAGCCUCCCAAAGUGCUAGGAUUAACAGGCGUGAGCCGGCACGCCCGGCCUCCCCGCUGAAUCCUUUCUUCAUUUUAUCAUAAUCCUUCUAAAUACACUUUCGGGAACUUUAAAAGAUGCCUACCACCAUUUGUCUCUCAUGAAGAUGUGAACUGCGACUGGAAACAGCUCAGUCUCUCACAGGGAAAGCACAAUGACACAGAAGGAAAUAUAGAAGUCCCCAAAUUAGGAAUCUUGGAUUUUAGACCCAGUGUUCCCUUAACUGCUUAAAGUGUGACCUCAAGCCAUAUACUGACAUCAACACUUAGGAAGAAAUAGGACUGCAAUGAGGACAAAACCUGUUACAGGGAAAGGAAAUGAUAGAGGCCUGGAAAACAAAGCAAAUAACAAGAGUCAGAUGUUGAAGGAAUAGAGGGAAAUAUACUAAGAGGAAAA
Molecule: long non-coding RNA, 470 nt
Filed under: Homo sapiens (human)
Lineage: Eukaryota; Metazoa; Chordata; Mammalia; Primates; Hominidae
Description: HSALNT0307726
Source: RNAcentral